This 796-nucleotide ribosomal RNA is filed under the name uncultured archaeon. Its description in RNAcentral is "bacterial SSU rRNA". It matches the Rfam family "Archaeal small subunit ribosomal RNA", at positions 85 to 879 of the family's 1478-position model. The record is from RNAcentral. RNAcentral also lists the same sequence under 1 other name.
ACUGCUCAGUAACACGUGGAUAACCUGCCCUUGGGUCCGGCAUAACCCCGGGAAACUGGGGAUAAUUCCGGAUAACGCACAUAUGCUGGAAUGCUUUAUGCGUAAAAUGGAUUCGUCUGCCCAAGGAUGGGUCUGCGGCCUAUCAGGUAGUAGUGGGUGUAAUGUACCUACUAGCCAACAACGGGUACGGGUUGUGAGAGCAAGAGCCCGGAGAUGGAUUCUGAGACAUGAAUCCAGGCCCUACGGGGCGCAGCAGGCGCGAAAACUUUACAAUGCGGGAAACCGUGAUAAGGGGACACCGAGUGCCAGCAUCAUAUGCUGGCUGUCCAGGUGUGUAAAAUACACCUGUCAGCAAGGGCCGGGCAAGACCGGUGCCAGCCGCCGCGGUAACACCGGCGGCCCGAGUGGUGAUCGUGAUUAUUGGGUCUAAAGGGUCCGUAGCCGGUUUGGUCAGUCCUCCGGGAAAUCUGACGGCUCAACCGUUAGGCUUUCGGGGGAUACUGCCAGGCUUGGAACCGGGAGAGGUAAGAGGUACUACAGGGGUAGGAGUGAAAUCUUGUAAUCCCUGUGAGACCACCUGUGGCGAAGGCGUCUUACCAGAACGGGUUCGACGGUGAGGGACGAAAGCUGGGGGCACGAACCGGAUUAGAUACCCGGGUAGUCCCAGCCGUAAACGAUGCUCGCUAGGUGUCAGGCAUGGCGCGACCGUGUCUGGUGCCGCAGGGAAGCCGUGAAGCGAGCCACCUGGGAAGUACGGCCGCAAGGCUGAAACUUAAAGGAAUUGGCGGGGGAGCAC